CUUCGCCAGCUGCGGCUGAGGGCCGAGGGGCUGUCUCCUGGGGUCGCCCCGCAGCGUGUACGGCGGAGCUGCGAAGAGCUUCUCUCUCUGGCAGUCAGUGCUGGGCUUGAACCCAGGGCCUUGAGCUCGCUCCAAACGGCCUCGGAAACCAGAAUCGUUCGCACUGGAGCCUUCUGGGCUUUCUUGCUUCACCCCCUGAAUAUUAAGCGUUUUAUGGCCGUUAGCAGGAGCAGAGGCAGCGCUGCAGCCUGGGAGAUGAGAUAAGCCCCGGCCCAGGCUGUGAUCCCCACGCACCUCGGGGACCCUGCAGCCAUUGGCAGCACCUUGCUCUCGGCCCUGGUUCCCAGACUUGCACCUUGGCAGCUCCAAGGGCUCCACCUGAGUGGCGAGGCCUGGGAUCCCGGAUCCCCAACAGGUUCCCGGAUGAUCCUGCAGCUCCCACCUGGGGGCCUCUGGCCCGGCUGUUUUGAGAACCACUGCACUAAACUGAGAACGAGGUCUUCAGAAUUCCCACUCGGAAUCAGCGUGGUGGCCUACACCUGUCAUCCCAGCACUCAGGAGGCUGAGCCAGGAGAAUCACUGGGAGUUUGAGGCCAGCCUGGGCUACCCAGCAAGACCCUCUCUCAAAAGAAAACAAACACCCCCAAAAGCAAAGUUCCCACUCCCCAAGGCACCAUGUCCAGGUCUCUCCAACCUCAUUCCUUCCAGCCCCUCCAACCAUUGCUGAGGUUUUCUUGACCCUCCCUCCCCAGUCCCUGCUCUGGGCAGGAGCUGCCUGUUUCCAGCUCUCCCUAGCUUUCUAUUUGUCCAGAGCCCAGAUUCAUUUCUUCAGUUUUCUCCUUGCUCUGGGCAGAUCUACGGGCUGCUUGCAGGAGCUGAGCACCCCAGCACGGGGCAGAGGCCUGGGCUCGGGCAUCACAGGCCCAGCCGCCCUUACUGUGCCACACGCACGCACAGCCUUCGCCGCUCCAUCCUGGGCGCCAGCUCCUUGCUGGCUUCCCAUCCCCAUGCCUUUCCCUCUCUGGGUUUCCCGGCUGAUGCUUGGUUGGCGCUGUCUGUGUUUCAGGAGAUAACCUGCAGCCCUGUUCUUUUUGAGGUCCAUUUUGGGAAACAGGCAAGGGGCCGUGGGACAAGCAGGAGUCUGGGCUGGAGCAACGUCUUCCAGUCGGGGUGGGAGGGGCAGCCGAGCCGCUGGCUGGCAGGAAGACCCCAAGGGACAAUCACACCGGCCUUGUGCAGGUGACUAAGGCCAGGGCUGACACAGUACACUAGAUCUCUACCACUGAGUUACAUCCGCCCUGUCCACUUUUCAUCUUGAGACAAGGU
Molecule: long non-coding RNA, 1326 nt
Filed under: Heterocephalus glaber (naked mole-rat)
Lineage: Eukaryota; Metazoa; Chordata; Mammalia; Rodentia; Bathyergidae
Description: lncRNA (ENSHGLG00000040547.1)
Source: RNAcentral